Long non-coding RNA from Rattus norvegicus (Norway rat), 1171 nucleotides. The record is from Ensembl. NCBI's taxonomy places the organism in Eukaryota, Metazoa, Chordata, Mammalia, Rodentia, Muridae.
GUCUGCCCUUGCUGUCUCACAAGGACCGGAAGAGGAUGAAACACCAGUCAGUGCCGGGGGAGUUGCGACGGAAAAAAUUUUUUCCAUCUUGGUCAAGUCGCCAUCGGGAAAUCAUUCAGACUCAAUAUUGAGACUGAUACAGGGCGAAUUAUUUUUCUUUAUAUGAAUACACUGCCACUGUCUUCAGACACACCAGAAGAGGGCAUCAGAUCUCAUUACAGAUAUUGUGAGCUACCAAUUGGUUGCUGGGAACUGAACUCAGGACCUCUGGAAGAGAAGUCAGUGACCCUAACCUCUGAGCCAUCUCUCCAGACCAAUGAAGACUAUCCUUGACAUCUUCACUAGAAACCCCUUCAUAAACACAGAUGUGUGAUCUUCAAUCCAGUCAAGAUAAUAGUGAAGAUUCACCUCGGAAGUGAUUUAGCCGCCUACGCAGCCCUGACCUCCAAGGCGUUCUGGAGCGCCAGAAGACUCUGGAACCCGUGUGCAGCUGUUUAGUAGCUGUACUGCUUGGUCUUGGUAAGUUCCGUGUCUUCAAGUGGUAGUAGUUGACCCAGAAUUAAAGAGGAGCUCUGAGAACCCCCAGACACCCCAGGACCCUGGGUGGCCUCCUCUUCUAAAGACAAAGGACUUUAUGGGCUAGGGAUGAGACUGGAAAGUGCCGAGCUGCGAUUCAGAACUCUGCCCUUCCAUUGCCCUGUGGCUCUGAGCUAGUUAAUCUCUCUGAGCCCCGGUUUCUUCCUACAUAGAAGGAAAUAUUUACAGUAUUGUUUGGCACGGCUGUGAGGCAAUGCGUCCUAAGGAAUUGAGAGGGCAGUGCUGGGAGCAUGCUAAAUGAGAUUAACUGGAAAAGCUGGUUAGAGCAGACCCAGCGUCCCUCUUUUCAGGUGAAAGGUCAAGGCUGCACAGCAGGUUCCAGAGGACCCAGCAAUUGCUAGAUUGUGAGCCAUUUCUUUCCAGAGAUAGGCUGGGUGAACAGAGAGGUGCCAUUUAGAAGAUCUGAUGUUGUUUAAGUAUUUCAAUAAUUGAAUAUGGGUUCACUCUACCUGAAUAACGAUUACAAUUUAAAUAUCAGUAAAUGGUCAUUAUGAAUUAAUGUAGGUGAAGUUGCCCAGAAACUAGAUUUCCAUCUCAAAGCUUCUGUCAGUGGAUCACCCCCACAGAGUCAAGA